Aethalodelphis obliquidens (Pacific white-sided dolphin) is the source of this 2388-nucleotide long non-coding RNA. RefSeq lists it as uncharacterized. The record is from RefSeq and is a predicted model, not a curated record. NCBI's taxonomy places the organism in Eukaryota, Metazoa, Chordata, Mammalia, Artiodactyla, Delphinidae. The transcript is spliced from 3 exons.
GUGUGACUUCUGAAACUCGGAUCUCGUCCGUGCCCUCGGAGUCUUUGUGAAAUAGCGAUUUGGCCUGGUUGCCACCUAGUGAAGGCUCUGGCCCAGGCUUCCUCCGGUUUUCCUUUUGACCAGUGCUUUCCUUCUUUCCUAUAAUGCCUCAUGUCCGCUUUGAAAGUGCCUCCUGAUUCUUGGCCAGCUGAUUCUUUUAAAAAUCCUGUUCUUGGCCAGUUUUUUAAGGAUAUCAGGGGGCUCCAGCUGAGACCUGCCCACCACUCUCAACUGCAAUAAUUCUAUUUCAUUCUAAACAAAUCAGCCCAUACGUUUUACAAACCUAGAGACAUAGCCCACACCAUAUCAGGGUUGCUUGUGAUGAUAGACAUUUCUUGAAAAGGAGGGAGAGACCUCAAAUACAGGCGAGAUAAUCCGAAGAUUACUUUGUGUGCAAUUCUGAGAAUCACAGAUCAGGGAAACAGCUCUUUCCUACCACCUUGCUCUCCGUUGUCUAGCUUCAUCUGUCGGUGAUGAUGGCUCUGGAAUGCUCCUAAAAUAAGUACAAUUUGACAUGGUUUGCUUGCAGAGAAGUGAUGAAGUUCAUGUGUGGUCAAGGGCCUGGGCUUGGCACCAGUUUGAGCCUUGGCUCUGCUCUUACUGGCUGCGUAAUGCUGAGCAUGCUAUUUAACCUCAUUUUCUUAUUGCUAAAAUAACAGGCCUUACUUCUUAGGGUGUUAUAAGGACACGAAUAUCUCACCAAUUAUGAGAUAAUUCGUGGAAAGGACUCUGUGCGCACCUGGUAAGCGGAGAACAAAUGUGGCUGUUAAUGUUUCGGUACCCAUGUUCCCCGUUGGGGGCAGCUUACUCCCAGUUCUCUAAGGAAGGCACAUACAGCUCAGAACGUUAAUUGAGGGAGGUGCCUGACUGUGGACCAAAUGUGUGAAACUAUGGCUUCUGUAUUUUCAAACAGAAAACUAUAAGGAAAACACCUCAUUAUGCUGAGUAGCUUGUAAGGUAAAAGUCCAAAUAAAAAUGGAUGUUAGAGUGUGGAGAGCGGGUGUCUAAUGGAAUUCAGCUUUGACAGCUGCAGGUACAAGCUCUUGAAAAGAAAUGCAUAAAAAAUUCUGGGCCAGCUCCAGAAGAACCUCACGAGCAAAGACGCCAUAAACAAAACCAAGCCCAGAGGUGCUUGAGAAUUUCCGAAGCAGAGGACAUGUUAUUACUACACCCUAUAUCUUGUGAAAUAUCUUCACUACACAGUUGGCUCUCCACGUACAAUCUCAAAGGGCAGGGCCGUGACGAAGCUGUCUGGAAAGGGCCCUCUUUGGAGAACUAGAGACUUGAGUUCCUGGAACAAAUUGCAAGGAAGGCCCUUCCUUGUUGAGGAAGCUUCCGAUUUGUGUAGUUUAGAGAGUUCUGAGAUGGUUGUCUCUGGCACCUCAGAGUAACUGGGAGGGGCUGUUCAUUAUGAUGGUGGCUUUCUGUUUGUCUCUACUUGCUGAAGUAAUGACUUCUCUGAACUGAGUGAUCUUUGUGUAAGAUCAGUGAUCUUCUCAGCUUGCCAGGCUGUGUGUGUACAAGGUGAUAAGGAGGCAAAGCCCCAAGCCACUAACACUACUGGCCUCCAGGUAAUGUUAAGCUACUUGUGAGUUACUGGCCCCUGGUAAACAGAAGGGAGAUCCACCCAGUGUGUCUUUGCAACUAACCUGUUGCCUUGGGAAUGGGUAAUUUCAUCCCCUGGGGCCUCCAUUAAUGUCCUAUAAAAUAGGAACGUUGGGUUUAAUUUUUGAGAAUACUUCUAGCCUUAAAGUUUAUCAGCCUCUGAGGCUCCAGGCUCCCAGGAACAGAAACUAUACUGCCGGGCAUCUGUGAAUCUUGUGGCAACGUUGCCAAUGUAAAAUCUCUUCUCUGGUGGCCUGUGUUAACCAAUUUAUUUCAGAAGCUGAAUUCACAAGAAGUUUCCCCACCAGAGAGUUUAACUGCGGUUAAGAGCUCAGACCUGGGUUUAAAUGCUGCUCUGCCACGUACCAGUUCUGAGAAUCUGUAGCCGGUCACAAUGGGAAGCAAAGGAGGGUUCGCCUUGCUCGGGCUCCUGUUCAGCCUGGCUGUCGUCUGCCAUGUAGAUUAAUCACUUCCGGUUGAAAGUAGGAAAAAGCUUCUCAAUUGCACAGUUAAAUGGAUUUUGAAAUCUGGAAAUUCCCUUUGCACUUGCCUCAGGGUCCAAAAAACUGCUGCUGGAACUGUAGUUUGAGCUUGGAAAAAUACAUCUGCUGCAGAUAUAUGUGGGAAGGAAGCCCACUCUGAGUUGCUGACCUCUGACCCACACUAAUGGAGCUGGUGGGCUUGCUUCUGCUGCCAGGGUGAGUCAUUGCUGGUCUACCAGGUUCUGACGGGCAUUCUUCCUGA